GACGAACGCUGGCGGCGUGCCUAAUACAUGCAAGUAGGACGCAGUUGCGAACGGGAGAGUAACGCGUAGGUAACUACCUAGUAGAGGGGGAUAAAUAUUGGAAACGAUAGCUAAUACCGCAUACUAGUAGAUGGACCUGCGUUGUAGUAGCUAGUAGGUCGGGUAAUGGCCUACCUAGGCAACGAUACAUAGCCGAGCUUGGAGGGUGAACGGCCACACUGGGACUGGGACAAGGCCCCGACUCCUACGGGAGGCAGCAGUAGGGAAACUUCGGCAAUUGGGGGAACCCUGACCGAGCACCGCCGCGUGAUUGAAGAAGGUUUUCGGAUCGUAAAGCUCUGUUGUUCAGGAAGCGUUACUUAACCAGAAAGGGACGGCUAACUACGUGCCAGCAGCCGCGGUAAUAC
RNAcentral lists this ribosomal RNA (407 nucleotides) under uncultured bacterium. Its description in RNAcentral is "partial 16S ribosomal RNA". It matches the Rfam family "Bacterial small subunit ribosomal RNA", at positions 28 to 526 of the family's 1533-position model. The record is from RNAcentral.